UGGAGCCAGCUGCCGGGCAUCGAUGUUCAGGUCCCUCUCCACGCUCUGGAGUAGCUCCUCCAUGUCAGGGCUUGGGGACCGCGACCAGCCCUCCAGCCCGAUGGUGAAGACUGUGUCAUGAAUCUUUUGUUAGGAAGCGCGUCUGUCUGCGACUGGGACGAGACAUCUCCGAGAAAAGAAGAAAAGCCUCCUGAUCAGGAAGCUCCCCCAACCCCAGGACGGGUGGACUAGAUCUCUCCAGUGAAAGCUGGGGCUAGGCGAGGUGGGCAGUCCUCCCUCCCCCUAAAGCUCUCAGGAGUUCUCAUUCUGUGGCAGAGUCGGUUGCCCUGGGGGCUGAUUCAGUUCUGCUCACUCCUGCUGCUUCGCCUGUUCCACAUUUCCUUAGGGAGUUAUCGCCUGCUGUAGAAGUUAGCAAAUCCGUUUGGGGGUUGUCUAAAAGAAGCACUCACGGCUUCCAAAAGGAGGGGCUGUAGCCCUUUAAGGACUUCGCCGGGAGGGUUUCAGAGAGGAGUUUAAAAAUGCCAACUCACAGAGCGCGCUGGAUUCUGGGAACAAGGUGUCAGAUGGAGAACUACAUUGACCAGUAUGCACUGCAAACACACUCGCCUUUACUUCCUUCUGCCCUUUAGGACUCUGGUUUGACGUAGAGCUUUUCCAAGCAAGUAGCCUAAGUGGAAGGCUGAGCCACACCUUUUCACCUAUUGGCCAGCUCUGAGGUAGUAGGCGUGGCUUAGUGCCACUCCACUAAGCAAAAGGGUGGCCUCCUUGCCAAUCAGAACUAAGACGGCCGGAGAGGCGGGACCACGGUGAAGAGCUGGCGCCCCCGAGUGGGUGUGGUCACGCUGCCCACCAGUUGGCGGUGAUUGGCCUUGGGAGGUGCAAGCGCAACUUGUGCGUCACGACGCCGCCAGCUGAUCGGAGACUGGAGCCGGUGUGUGCUGGGCGCUGGGAAGAGACCGCCGCCGGCCUUGGGGAACGGACGCACUGAUUUGGUCUCCUACCCUCAGCAUCCCCCCAUGCACACACCCAGCACCAGGAUCCUGUACCUCCCACACUCUCACCUGGCUGAGCCGCAGUAGUUCUUCAGUGGCAAGCUUUAUGUCCUGACCCAGCUAAAGCUGCCAGUUGAAGAACUGUUGCCCUCUGCCCCUGGCUUCGAGGGGGAGGAAGAAGAGGAAGAAGAGAAGGAGGUGAUUUCCCCCUCAUCUUGAAGGUGACAGAACUGGGGCGGGGAAGGUCUGAACAGCAGGAGUAAUAAUACCUUUUCAGGAAUGGGAGCCCUGUUCAGUUGGAGAGCCUUCCCCCCCAUUGGACCAGCAAGAGAGAACAAUUUUAGGUUAGAAAACCUGGCUGAACUAGGGAAUAGAUGGCUCUGAUUACCCAAGGUUAGUUGGUCUUUGUAUGACAAGGGGAACAAGUAGAGCAAAGAAAACCCUGUCUACUUCUUUACCCAGAUGUCUUUCUUGACCCUCCUUCCUUGUCCCCAUUCUUUCCACUCGCCUUUCCAGAUGAGGUCCAGAAGUUAAGUUUCCUCUCAGGAAAAAGGUCAGACUGAAAUGCUCAUCUGAGUGGUCAUCCCUCUGCUCUUACCUUUCCCUGCAUUUUCUUACUGGCUCAGACUCUAGAUUCAGGGGUACUCAUCUGUAUGUGAAACCCUCAUAGACCUCCCAUCUCAGCUUUCUCCACCUACCUGUGCGAUUGGGAAUCGCCCAGUUGAGUAUGCAUGAGGGAAUUAGAAACCCAUUUGUGCAGACUCAGAGCUUGAGAUGGGAACAAAACAGCUUUUCACAUAAGCUAGUGCCCCUACCCCAUCCCUGACCAUAACCCUAGGAGCUGGGGGGGGGGACUGAAGGGAGGGGCUAGUAGGAACUCAGUCUGAUUUCCCACCGUGCAAAGGUGGCCCCAGGCUUCCCCUGCCACCCAAAAUAGGACUGCGUCUCCUGAUGGGGUUCCAGCUACCAUUGCUCUCUUUAUUUCCUCACUUUACUUUCUAGGAUAGUGUGUGAGACUCAGCUCAGGCCUGUACAGGCAGGAAAUUCUCCCCUCCAGCAACCAGGAGAGCUAAAUUGUGGGAUAUGGUCCCCACUGGGGGAUCAGGCAGUGUAUACCUGCCACUGCCAGCUCUUGAUCCAACCUCACUCUUGGGCUCAGGCUCUGGUGUGGUUCAGCCUUGGUCCAGUCUCUCUGCCUGAGAAGGUGGCCACAUUCAGGGACUACAAGAAGCUGUUUGUUCUAUUUUGGGGGAGGAGGUGUACAGGGAGCUGGGUCUUAUUCCCCAUUUAUGAGAAACUGAAAGAUUCAGAAGAGAGAAGACCAUUGAACCCAGCUUUUCUGCAGUCUAAGCUGAAUGUGUGUGGGACUGCGUUCAAAGGGGGAGGGUAGACUGAGUCCACUCAUAGGACACAACAAAGACCACUCUGUCCCUGGAUAUUGCUUCCAUCCUUUCUUCCCCUCCUCGCUUCACUGGCCAGUGUCUCCCUCCAGCCCUGGGUGUGUGGCUGUGUCAUCCUCACCUAUCAUGGAGCAGAGAUAAGGAAGAGCAGCCUGGGAACACAGGCAGGCAGAAGACCAGUGAAGGACAAGGCCUGGAGAGCACAGGGCCCUGUCUGGGCACCCUGCAGAGGAGGCCCGUAAAGGCCAGGAGCACCCCAGGAGGAGAGAGGACAGCCAACCUUCAUCAAGGACAAGCUUCCAGCCAUCUUCUUCAUUCAUCAUUUCUCUCCAGUCUUUCCGUCUCCCUCAGAGAUGUGGGACCAUAUUAAAGUGUCCUGUGGCCUCAUCCUCCUACUUCCACCUCUCAUGCACCCUGCAAUUUUUAUAUAAGCAGCUUCAAGGAGCAAGAGCCGGCUAUGAAAGGACAUAUACAGGAAAUUCAUAAAAGAAAUUCAAAUGGAUAAAACCAUGAAAAAUGUGUUUCAUUAGUAAUUAAAAAGAGUCAAAUACAGGGGGGCGGCUGGUUAGCUCAGUUAGUUAGAGCGCAAUGCUUGUAAGCCCAGGGUUGCCGGCUCGAUCCCCGCUUGGGGCCAGUGUGAGCUGCACCGUUAACAACUAGAUUGAAACAAUUACUUGACUUGGAGCUGAUGGGUCCUGGAAAAACACACUUAAAAAAUAAAAGUUAAAAAAGCAUUAAAAAAAAGUCAAAUACAACUACGCAUUUUCCCCAAAGCAAGCUAUAACAGAAAAAAUAAGACCCAGUUACUGGCAAAGAAGUACUAAAAUACAGUGCAUAUGCACAUAGAAAUUGGUACAGCCUUCCUGGAGGUCGGUUUGGUAAUAUGUGUCAAACAUUACCUUGACCUUUGACCUAAUUCUACAUUUGGGAAUUUAUUCUGAGAAUAAUGAAAGAUUUAGUUAUAAGAUGUUCAUGUCAGCAUUGCGAUAGAGAAAAAGAGAAAAAUAGAAGCAACUCUAUGAUUGGGAAUUCAUUUCUGCUAUAAUGAAAAUUUGCAACAGGAUUGCUUAUGUAAAUUAUUGUAUAUCCAGCCAGAGGCUGGAGUAUGCACAGCCAUUCAAAGUCAUGUAGAAGAACAUUUGACUGGAAAGAAAAAUGCUCUUUGAAUAUUAAAAAAGUCAUAAAAA
Rhinolophus ferrumequinum (greater horseshoe bat) is the source of this 3579-nucleotide long non-coding RNA. RefSeq lists it as uncharacterized. The record is from RefSeq and is a predicted model, not a curated record. Lineage: Eukaryota; Metazoa; Chordata; Mammalia; Chiroptera; Rhinolophidae. The transcript has 3 exons.